Non-coding RNA from Myotis lucifugus (little brown bat), 72 nucleotides. The record is from Rfam. Lineage: Eukaryota; Metazoa; Chordata; Mammalia; Chiroptera; Vespertilionidae.
GGCAGUUCUUGGGCGACGCACCCCGGAAUCGAACUCUCUCAAUGGUUCCGGGUGCGUCACCCGAGAACCACA